GGACACCAAUUCAGAGAAAUGUUGCCCACCCUACCAAACCUCUCUGCUGCCAGGAAGGUGAGAAAAGUACUUCUUUGGAGAUUACAUUUUGAUGAGAAGCCUGGGCCAGCAUUCCUCUUGGAAAAGAAGACAGAGGCAAACAAAUGGCAUUUGAGUUUUGGUCUUCCAUUAUUCAAACUUUCCUUAAAAAUGACAGCAUGGAAAUCUUCAAGUCUGCUUGGAAUCUGAGCCAAUUUGAUGGGAGAAUCUGCAGAUUUUCAAGCAUGUCCACUGGAAUUCUGAUGCCCCUUCCAUAGCAAGCAACUCUGUGGAUGCCUGUUCUGUCACCAUCUAGUGGUAAUUGAAGCCUGGCUCUCCCAAGAAGCUCUCAACUUCCUAAGGCUCUUUUAUCCAGAUGUUGUUUAUUCUACUGCAUUUCAUGAAGAUGAUGACCAUCAUUCACUUCUCCUCCCCCAUCUUUAUAUGAAAACCUCUUUAUAAAAAACUUGUGGGGAACUUCCACUUUCAAGAAGAUGGAGUGGGUAUACUUUUCCUUAUUCCUCCCACUAAGUACAACUAACAACCCUAGACAUUAUAUGUAAAACAAACAUAAAAAGACUGAAAGGUGGAGAAAGGAAGGCAGACUGGCUAGGGACCUCAGGACCUGAAGAACAACGAGGUCAUGAAUUCCAUGGAUUUUCUUUUUGUCUCAUAUAUCACAGAAUUGGAGCUGAAGAAGCUGACAAUCUGGAACACAAACAGAUGCAGACAAAUAAAAAAAAAAAGCCCAAACACAAGCCUGCUAUCUCCAGCCAAAGUACCAGGAAAGGGACAGGCUUAUAAGACAGAACCUUUAGAAAAUAACUACUUUACUCCAGCCAAAUACCACAGAAAGAACUAUAGUCUAGACUUCCACCACUGCAUGGCUGUAACUAGGCUCCCCCUCACCAGAGUGGUCAGAGGAAGCUGAGUAGGGAGCCAUGUCUUUCAUCCCUGCUUGGUGGUAACAAACACACAUCCCUUGCAGUGUUGGUGGAGACCAUGUGGGAAGCCUGCAUCCCCAUCUCCACCUAGCUGGAAUGAUGCACCUCUCUCUCCUCCCCACUAGGAGUCCUAAUGGAGAGUCAGGACUCUCCCCACCGUCCAGUGGUAAUGAGACAACCACCAAAAGUGUCAGGGAAGGCUUUGCGGGGAAUUGGAACUCCCCUAAGAUGAUAACAGAAGCUGAGUGGAGAACCUGGUUUUCUACACUCACCAAGCAGGAACAAAGUGCCACUCCUAUUUCUUCAG
Leptonychotes weddellii (Weddell seal) is the source of this 1269-nucleotide non-coding RNA. Lineage: Eukaryota; Metazoa; Chordata; Mammalia; Carnivora; Phocidae. The record is from RefSeq and is a predicted model, not a curated record.